GACGGAGGGUGCUAGCGUUGUUCGGAAUUACUGGGCGUAAAGGGCGCGUAGGCGGCCUGAGAAGUCGGAUGUGAAAGCCCGGGGCUCAACCCCGGAACGGCAUUCGAAACUUUUGGGCUCGAGAACGGAAGAGGAGAGUGGAAUACCCAGUGUAGAGGUGAAAUUCGUAGAUAUUGGGUGGAACACCGGUGGCGAAAGCGGCUCUCUGGUCCGGAUCUGACGCUGAGGCGCGAAAGCGUGGGGAGCAAACAGG
This 253-nucleotide ribosomal RNA is filed under the name uncultured bacterium. RNAcentral's name for it is "partial 16S ribosomal RNA". It matches the Rfam family "Bacterial small subunit ribosomal RNA", at positions 524 to 776 of the family's 1533-position model. The record is from RNAcentral.